This 73-nucleotide transfer RNA is filed under the name Myxococcales bacterium. Its description in RNAcentral is "tRNA-Glu". It matches the Rfam family "tRNA". From Rfam's summary of the family: Transfer RNA (tRNA) molecules are approximately 80 nucleotides in length. Their secondary structure includes four short double-helical elements and three loops (D, anti-codon, and T loops). Lineage: Bacteria; Pseudomonadati; Myxococcota; Myxococcia; Myxococcales. The record is from RNAcentral.
GUCCCUAUCGUCUAGAGGCCUAGGACACUGGCCUUUCACGCCAGCGACACGGGUUCAAAUCGAGUUGGGGACG